Molecule: ribosomal RNA, 466 nt
Filed under: uncultured bacterium
Lineage: Bacteria
Description: partial 16S ribosomal RNA
Rfam family: Bacterial small subunit ribosomal RNA
Source: RNAcentral
GAUGAACGCUGGCGGCGCGCCUAACACAUGCAAGUCGAACGAUUAAAGCACCUUCGGGUGUGUAUAAAGUGGCGAACGGCUGAGUAACACGUGGGCAACCUGCCCCUCUCAUUGGGAUAGCCACGGGAAACCGUGGAUAAUACCGAAUACUUCGGGACUUCCGCAUGGAAGACUCGAGAAAGCUCCGGCGUGGAGGGAUGGGCCCGCGGCCUGUUAGCUUGUUGGUGGGUAAUGGCCUACCAAGGCAAUGAUGGGUAGCUGGGUUGAGAGACCGACCAGCCAGAUUGGGACUGAGACACGGCCCAGACUCCUACGGGAGGCAGCAGUGGGGAAUCUUGCACAAUGGGCGAAAGCCUGAUGCAGCGACGCCGCGUGCGGGAUGAAGGCCUUCGGGUUGUAAACCGCUUUCAGCAGGGACGAGGCGAAAGUGACGGUACCUGCAGAAGAAGCCCCGGCUAACUACGUG